RNAcentral lists this ribosomal RNA (387 nucleotides) under uncultured Syntrophaceae bacterium. RNAcentral describes it as "bacterial SSU rRNA". It matches the Rfam family "Bacterial small subunit ribosomal RNA", at positions 995 to 1382 of the family's 1533-position model. The record is from RNAcentral. Lineage: Bacteria; Pseudomonadati; Thermodesulfobacteriota; Syntrophia; Syntrophales; Syntrophaceae.
CUUUCCUAGAGAUGGAUUGGUGCCUUCGGGAACUCAGACACAGGUGCUGCAUUGGCUGUCGUCAGCUCGUGUCGUGAGAUGUUGAGUUAAGUCCCGCAACGAGCGCAACCCCUAUUGUUAGUUGCCAUCAUUUGGUUGGGCACUCUAAUGAGACUGCCGGUGUUAAACCGGAGGAAGGUGGGGAUGACGUCAAGUCCUCACGGCCUUUAUGUCCAGGGCUACACACGUGCUACAAUGGGUGGUACAAAGAGCAGCGACCUCGCGAGUGGAAGCAAAUCUCAAAAAGCCAUCCUCAGUUCGGAUUGGAGUCUGCAACUCGACUCCAUGAAGUCGGAAUCGCUAGUAAUCGCGGAUCAGCACGCCGCGGUGAAUACGUUCCCGGGCCUU